This 28-nucleotide non-coding RNA is filed under the name Cricetulus griseus (Chinese hamster). Lineage: Eukaryota; Metazoa; Chordata; Mammalia; Rodentia; Cricetidae. The record is from RNAcentral.
CAAAAGGAAAAGGACGAGAGAAAAUUAU